RNAcentral lists this ribosomal RNA (465 nucleotides) under uncultured bacterium. RNAcentral describes it as "bacterial SSU rRNA". It matches the Rfam family "Bacterial small subunit ribosomal RNA", at positions 338 to 795 of the family's 1533-position model. The record is from RNAcentral.
CCUACGGGACGCACCAGUGGGGAAUAUUGCACAAUGGGCGCAAGCCUGAUGCAGCCAUGCCGCGUGUAUGAAGAAGGCCUUCGGGUUGUAAAGUACUUUCAGCGGGGAGGAAGGUGCUGAGGUUAAUAACCUCAGCAAUUGACGUUACCCGCAGAAGAAGCACCGGCUAACUCCGUGCCAGCAGCCGCGGUAAUACGGAGGGUGCAAGCGUUAAUCGGAAUUACUGGGCGUAAAGCGCACGCAGGCGGUCUGUCAAGUCGGAUGUGAAUUCCCCGGGCUCAACCUGGGAACUGCAUUCGAAACAGGCAGGCUAGAGUCUUGUAGAGGGGGGUAGAAUUCCAGAUGUAGCGGUGAAAUGCGUAGAGAUCUGGAGGAAUACCGGCGGCGAAGGCGGCCCCCUGGACAAAGACUGACGCUCAGGUGCGAAAGCGUGGGGAGCAAACAGGAUUAGAUACCCUCGUAGUC